UUUGGCCACAGGGAGCCAUUAUUGGUUGUUAAAUUGUUAUCCAUACAUUAUACCCUUUGCACAUAAUAUGCCAUAUUUCCUAACCGGGUUUUAAAAAUUAGUAACGCGUUUAAGAGUAGCGGGGUAACGGUUACAUAUUUCUGUAAAUAUUAUUUGUUUACUUUAACAUGGGACGGUAAAUAGCUAUGAAAUACACGUUCUAUCUUACCGCAACCUACACUACAAAUGCCCGGGGAGAAAAGAAAUAUAGGAAACAAAAUCGGGAACACUUUAGUUGAUUACCCCCGCUUUUCGUUGAUUAAUCCUUGGGUAUAAAACAGCAACCUUACAACGCGGGUUCUUUACACGACGUGGCAGCUUGGAUCAAGUUUGUUCUGCACCAGAUUGGAAUUAUAUUUCAAGAUAUAAGUUAAGUACUUCUUUAUUAUUAAACUAUAAUAACAUAUGACAGCAGUUAUUAUAAAUCCUAAUACUUAUUCUACACAGUAUUCCAUUACAAUACAUUUCAUCUUAAUAGGAUUAUUUAACAUACUAACAUUAUUUAAUUAAAGUAUUGUGCCUUGCGCAUAACUUAACGUUUUAGUUUCUUAUUCGAUUCUUAUUUUUGCAGAUUCGCGACGUAUCGUUAUUACGUCACUAUACGUCAGUCGCGACGUGACGUCACCGAUUUAGCUUCCGUUGCGUCAUAAUUGAUUUUGUUACAUUAGUAGCGAGUCGGGUCGUCGCCGCGUCGUUAUCGCUUCUUAUUACUACGUCAUCGUUACGUCAAACUCGUUUAGUGCAGUGUUGGUUUGACGACGUCACAAUGCGGUUUACUUAUGCGCAUGCGCUUCGUGACUUUUUAUAAUGGGGCCCCAUGCGCGUUUUGCGUCGGCGUAAGGCACAUUACUUGUAUAUUAUAAUUUUAUUUGCGCCAUGAGCGUGAAGAAAGAAGAUCAAAAGAAUUGGUAAAGUAUAGUUACAAUUGGCAUUAUUACGUACACGAGUUUUUUUUAUAGAAACAUCGAUGAUGUGACGUCACGGAGUGGUGAUGAUGCAACAGAAGAACCCACUUCAAUAUGGUAUGUGAUGUCACAGAGGAACAACCUGGAUCGUCACGAGCGAAAGCAAGAACAAAGAAAAGUCGGCGAAUUAAGCUGCAGAAGGAAAGCGCAAGACGAAGAACAAAGAUGAAGACGCCAAUAUAGGAUAAAUGGUUUGGCGUUUAAAGUAUAUUAUGUGUGUGUUCGUAUGUGUGAGCGUGUUAACUGGUACACCCUUAACAGUGUUGCCUUUAAAAAGAUCCCUUAUCUGCUGGACCUAGUGUUGCCAGCUGUUUUUGUCAGUCACUACUAUAGUGCAUUUUGCAAGUCACUAAAAUAUAUGCAUUGAAACUAUGGCGAACAUCUUGCUGGAUCAGAUUUUGUUGUUGUACACUCUAUUGUGUACUUCGUCUACAAAGGUCGAAUCUUUCAACGAUUCCGUAUUGUCCUAAUCGCUUGAUAAGGAAGCUUUGUUGGUACACAUAUACUCGAGUAAUAUUGACACGCCGUAUAAUAUGCGCAUAAAAUAAACAGUAUCCAUUUUAUUGUUAUGAUAUAAUGUAUAACCAUCACCAUGAGACUAAUGUUUACAAUAAAGCGUCGUGUAGCGUGAUUGGGGCGAUGGCCACGUCACAGUUACGCUACGACGUCGAUACGGUGGGUCAGAGCAGUGUCAUGACCCCGCGUUCGGUGCGGUUACGUAAGUUUUGAAUUGAGUUACGUCACGGUCGGGUUGUUGCGUGGACGUCGCCGCCAGUGAUGCUACGCUCGGAUAUUUAGGUCACUGUCAAUGCGGUUCGUAACAACCUGGCGCAGUUUCGUAACGGUCGAUGCGGUGCGUAACAUCCGGACGUUAUUAUAUUGUGUGAAAA
This is a long non-coding RNA of Ciona intestinalis (vase tunicate), 1894 nucleotides long. RefSeq lists it as uncharacterized. The record is from RefSeq and is a predicted model, not a curated record. NCBI's taxonomy places the organism in Eukaryota, Metazoa, Chordata, Ascidiacea, Phlebobranchia, Cionidae.